RNAcentral lists this long non-coding RNA (2103 nucleotides) under Strigops habroptila (Kakapo). RNAcentral's name for it is "lncRNA (ENSSHBG00005005475.1)". Lineage: Eukaryota; Metazoa; Chordata; Aves; Psittaciformes; Psittacidae. The record is from RNAcentral.
UAAAAUGUUCAAGUUAGUGAGUCUGCAGUCUAGAACAUCACCAAAGCUCAUAUAAUACACAUUUUACAUAUAUAUAUAUGAUUAUGUACUUAUAUUAAAAGACGGGGUAACAGUAGAUGCAAUGUAUAUAAUGUGUUUGUGUAUAUAUAUACACACACAUAUAUGUGUAUAUACAUGUCUUUUAUUGGUGUCAGUCAGGCACUUUCCAUUUUAACACUUCUACUUGAUGGUCUAGAACAGAGAAGAUCAGAACAGUGGGAUUUGUAACUAAUAGUUUAAUAAGUUAAUACCAAACAUUGUGUUAUUGUACAGUCCUACACAUUUAUGUUAUAUUUCUGUAUCUUUCUGUUGGCUCCCUAUCUGCUUCCCUUACAGAAUUCUAGAUUAGCUCUGAGACUAUGUGUGUACAAGUCCUUAACAAAGAAGGAAUCGUUUGCCACAUGCUUUUUGUAUGCUGUCUAUAGUUAAGAUAUGGGAAUAUUUGAAUUUUUGCUUUUCUCUAACAAUCUCAUUGUCAAAUGUCACUUGAAUUCCUUGAAGCACUGAAUCCCUUCACUCCAUCAUAAGAAGGCAGAACAAAGAAAAAGCAGUACUCAUUCCAGAGUCUGAGAUCGCAUUAGUAUUUUGAGAUUUUUCUGCAUCUUUACGUCGGCUUCUGAUCAAAAGUUGCCUCAUGUCCUGCCAGCUCAGUAAAUGGCAAUGUUAAUUCUUGACUGUGUAAAAUUAUCCAUGCAGACAUGACCUUAAAGAGCCUAAUUCCUGCUCACGCUGAAACUCCCUUAUAGCACUUUAGACCCUCCUCUUCCACUGUGUAUUUUCUAUGUCCACAUGAUUGAAGUUACAUAUUUUCCCCACCCUUUGGAUGGAUGGAGUGUGCGAUAAGAUUUCAUCUUGUUUCCUUGCAGGAAAUAGCCACCAAUAAAAAUUGUUCAGGAAGGGGGCAGACAUACUUUAUGCUCACUUUCAGAUGAUGUAUGAUGUAGUGUCAGUGCAGUUAUCAGUUGCACUUAGUGCAAAUGUAAAUUGAGCUGAAUUGGGGCAUAGCAAAUCUAGCUUCCAGCUAGUUAGCUUUCUUGAUGCCAGGUGUGUAGGUGUUAAAGCACAGAGCACAACAUGGCCUGACUAGCCAUUCACAUCUUCCUGCUUGCCCAGCUGCAUUGCAGCCUACACCAAGCAACCUGAAACAGAUAGUUUCCUCUAACUGGUUUAGGUAUUGCGAACUCUGUUGCAGGAGUGACUAACUUCUGGAUGAGAUUGUCUUAAAUUUUGCGUGGCCAUUCUGAGUACUGUAUAGAAAGAUUUUAUAACAUCUGUGGCAUGCCUUUCUCAUUAAUGGGUUAUAUGUGCCAGAGAAACAAUGGUCUAGAAAAUGCUUUUUACAUGGCUAUAAUUUGGGCCAUCAAUUCAAUUCAAUAUGCUUGCAGGAACUAAUGAAACAAAUGUUUUCUGUGAUCUGUCCAAAAAUACUGUUCUAAGGCUUCAAGAAUUGAUGGCUCAUCUCCUAGUACAUCUUUAGCACAGUUUUCUUUAUUAAUUUUUAAGCCUACAUAAAAUUAAUAAUUCUGCUGCUGAAUUUGGAUCACAUUUGAACAUCAUGGGGAAACCAUCUGAGUUGCACUUGCUUUGGUUCAAGUUUUGUAUUUGCCUUUGAAAGCAUAUGCUUCGUUAGCUAAAGGAAAGCCCUGAGGUGUGUAGGCUUCUCACUGUAGACGUUACCUAAGCAGUUCACUUGCCAUGGUGAUGUAGUAGCUAAAAAUGGCCUCAUCAAGCUCCCUUAUACAUGGAGCAAAAAGUCAGGCUUGUUUUAUGCCAUUUGCCACGUGGUAGGUUAUAGUGUUCACAUUUCUGUGUGAAGCAUUGCUAUCAUUACAUUAUAAAGACCUACAGUAAUGUUCUGAAAGUGGGGAGAGAUAACUGUAGGUGCUGUUGAUAAUAUAGUAUUUAGCAACACAAAAUAAAGAUUAUUUUUUUUAAUUGAUCUUCUUUAUUGUAUAGUGUGUAUUUUAAACUUGUUCUAUCACCUUUCAGUGAUACAACAUUCCUGUGAUUAUUAUUAUUACUCUUAAUAUUAUCAUCAUCUAUGAGAAUAAAAAAAUAUCCUGU